RNAcentral lists this small RNA (2276 nucleotides) under Pongo abelii (Sumatran orangutan). RNAcentral describes it as "processed transcript". The record is from RNAcentral. Lineage: Eukaryota; Metazoa; Chordata; Mammalia; Primates; Hominidae.
CGGUUCGCCGUUCCGGGCUCGCCGGGUUGGGGAAAGGGAGGUGGAGUUUCCAACAGGGAACUUGACCCGUUAGCGCCGCAGCCAUGGCGGCGCGUUCGCCUCCCUCACGGCACCCUUCGCCCCCAGCGCGACAGUUGGGCCCCAGGUCCCCACGUGUUGGGCGGGGAGCUGAGGUACACGCAGUGCGCAGCGAGGCCUCGGGUUUUGCCGGCGCAGCGCGGGAGGUGGUCGCGGACAAAAGUGAUAAAAUCUGGGUGGGCGAAGAAGGGUCAGGGGGCCGGCGAGGGCCUGGGGGGGCAGCUCCGGCUCAUGCUCCCCUCCUCAGCGCGCCCAUGGGGUCCAGACGGCUAGAGGGCAUCUCGGUAGAGGAGGCGAUGGUGACCCGGACGCAGCUGCUGGAGGAAGAGCUGAGCAGCCUAAAGGAGGAGUUGGCCCUGUGUCAGGCUGAUAAAGAAUUUGUAUGGGCUUUGUGGAAACGUCUCCAGGUUACAAACCCAGAUCUCACACAAGUGGUCAGUUUGGUUGUGGAAAGGAGGCCACUGGAAGAUGUGUACCACCAAAACGAAGAAUAUACCAAAAAACAUAAAAAGUUGGGAUUGAGAAAAUGUGAGAUCCAACACAUGAAUAAUAUAAAGAUAUUCCAAGGUGAAGAUGAAAGAAGAUACAGAAGACUUGGUAGCAGUAGUUCUCAAUGAAGCAGGACUACAACAGUUCUUUAAGAAGGAUGACUCUGAAAAAAUUAGCACUGAUAGAUUGUAAUGUUUUUGAGAAAGAUAUUUCAUACUUUUUGAGAAUUUUAGAAAGGAUUAGUGAUAAGUAAACAGAAAACUGCACAAAUAAAAGUGACAUAAUUUUUGUUUUUUAAAAAAGGAAAAAGAGCUUUUCUUAACAUUUCUCUCCAUUACAUUAAUUAACAUGACUACUAAAUCAUCACUUCCUUGUAGGAUUCCAAAUGUGAUGCCAUAUUGAUUGUAAGGGGUGUGUGUAAGUUUCUUGAGAGUUCCUACUCUAGAUGAGUUCACUUCAAAAAAAUUCUUUUCAAUAUCCUGUUCUUUCUCAUCUCUCAGUUUUGCCUCUUAUUUUUCACAUGAGGAAUUAGAAAAGCUGUCUAUACUGCUUUUCUUUUGAGAUUCACACACAAUUCAAGGACCAAAAGGUCAGCAUAAAUUUAUGCUUCUCUUAGCAAGCAUGUGUUUAAUGUCAGAAGGAAGGGAAGGUGCAUAGGCUGUUAAGGCCUGAUAGAACCUAAAAGGAAGAAUAUACCAAAGGUAUUUGUAGGGGCACUAGAAAGCAAGCAAGACAUUUUCUGCUCUGAUGUUAACAGUUGUCAGUAAGUGAAAAAUUCUACAAUGAGGUAUAGCAUAUGUAUCUUCACAGUGAGAUUAAUGCAGUCAGCUAAACAGUGAGGUUGUUAAUAACAGAGUGAUGCAAUUUUUAACUGUUCAGAGAAACAAAAAGUUAUACAUGAAAGGAAGUGUCAUCAUAGUACACCAUGUCGCUUAGCUGUGAACCAUACAUAAUAAGUAUUAUGUUAAAAAACUAGACUAAAAAUCAGGAUUUACACCUGCCAUAUAAACACUGGUCAGACGGCACAGCCCCCAGAAGUGCUGGGGUAGUGUACCCUGAGGAAAACUCAAAGAGAGGGGCUCCCUGGCAAGUGUGUAGGCACUCCAUUGUCCUCUUCCCUCUGGGGCAGUAUAAAGCAGUCUGACAAGAUUACACAUGUCAGACUCUGGGAAAAUUACCCCGUCACUUCUGGUAUGAUGAGAGACUGGGAGACACAUUAUAAAAUGUAUAUAAUGGUUUUUGCUAUUCAAAUAUGUUUAUUUCCUGAAUGUGACUAGUAAAAAGUUAGAUAAUAAGGCAUGUUGAGUUAUUGGAAUCCUCUUUUGAUUCUAUGUGUUGGUUAGCAGAUAGCAUAUAUUAUCAUAGCAACGGAUACUAGCCCUCUCAAACACUCAAAAGAAAAUCUAUCUAAAUGUGUUUAGAUCCAAGGGCUAUCAAUGUUGGGAAGAAAUGGGUAAGAAGGAAAAAGAUUAUGUUCCUGUCUUUCUUGAUGUUAGUUAGCAAAGAAAGUAAAAAAAAAAAAAAAAAAGUUACGUCCCCAAAUUUAAGAAAUAAGUAAUAUAUGACCUAAUGAAUACAUUUAAGGAUGGUACUUGGGACUGCUUUUUUGGUGGUGGUGGUGGUUUUUUUGGUUAUGUCUUAAUAACUGUGUUUAAGUUGAAAAAAUAACAUGUAACUUCGAUGAUAUUAACAAUUAAAUAAAAAUACGU